AUCUAUAGAAGGGACCAUAAUGGCAGAAAUAAAAGAAAAUUUUAUUUGAAAAAAUUAUUCAAAAGCUAUUUAGCGUUCUUUCCUUUUUAACGAUUCGACCUUUUAAACAUUACGCAAUAUGAAUGACUAAUUAAUUAUGAAAGGAAGACACAAAAUAUAACAAUUUCGUUACGUCGAAGACAUAAAACGAUGGGCGUUCACGCCAACGCUAAAAGUGCGGUGGUAUACGACACCAGCUCUUGCGGGCCACCUGGAUCAUAAGAAAGUGAUUCGGGAGCCUUUAUUCUAAAUGAUCGGAUGUGCAAUGGAAUAUUCGAAAUCGGGGAACAUUUUGACUCGAUAUCGAUGAGAUACAGAUACAAGAAUCAUCGUUGCAACGUGAAUUUGAAAUUCCGUAUACAUGUGUACAACUGCAACAGUACAAUUGUUGCGAAAAUAAAAUUUGAAGGAAAGAGAAGCGUGCUAUUCAUACGCUAACUGAGAAAAGUAACUCGAAAAGAGAAAGGGAUGAUGAAGUCGACUUCAUGGUUUGCUGUGCAAUUUUGUUAAUAACAUUGUAAAAUUGCUGGCUACGGAAAAACUUUAAUCUGAUGCCAUUCACAUGGUAAAAGGCAACAAUUUCGACCGGUAAAUUGGUAAAAAUCGUAGGCUUUUUAUCGCCAUCAUUGAGUUGAAUGCAUUGAUCUGGAAGGAGUUAUAACAUACAAACAUGGUGCAAAUUAAUUUGUAAUUUUCAUGGAAAGAGCUCUGGUCUCGUCACUUCUAAAGCGAGCCAUUUAAGGAAGAGAUUACAAAUUUUCGUUCGCAUUAUUUUCGUGUCAUUCUGCAUACCUAUUGGCAAACCAGUCGUGCAUAGAAUGUGAUUAUGAAACGGAGUAAACAAUCGUUUAGCUGUCUUCUACUGAAAAUUUCAUAAUUUCACCCAAUUUCAUUAUCUUUGUUUCGAUAGGAUAUAAAUAAAAUGAAUGUUCUUAAUGCGUAAAUGACGUUCAAGACAUCGUACAUAAACGUACCUACGACGACACCAUGUUCAGCAUUCGCCGCUAGCAACUCAUCAGCAAUUCGAUUAUUCAUCGGAAUCUAGGUCUGGAGCGAAAAAUACGGAGUAACCAGGCCACAGUCUGUGAAUCAGCAAGACGCUAUCUCCAGAUUGUUCUUAGAUCCUUUUCAACGAUCUCUAAUUAUAGAUUAUUGGAACGAUCAGCAAACGAGGAGAAUCAAGGACUAUGUUCUGCAUCACUAACGAUUACUGUCAAUAAAUGGUCCAGACUCGUGACUUCACGGAAGAUUUCUGUGUGAUAAGCUUGCUUCCUAUUCGAUUUGUAUGGAUACUGUGUUCUUGAAACGUCGUUAUGUUUAUGUAUGUCUUAUGUUUGCCUAGCUGCUAGCUACUAAUGUUUUUACCUUUAAAGAAUUACAAUUCGCACCUCAUGGACACGAUAUGCGAAAAAUUGACUUUGCUGCGGUAAAUAGGGUAGCAAUUAAUUAUAAAAAGACAACAUUAUUCCAAUAAGAGAUUAAAAAGUGGAAAGUAGUUUUUGUAGAAGGUAUCUUACGGUGAACGGUAGGUGAAGUCAAAGCUUAUCCGAACACGUAUACCC
Molecule: unclassified non-coding RNA, 1601 nt
Filed under: Bombus terrestris (buff-tailed bumblebee)
Lineage: Eukaryota; Metazoa; Arthropoda; Insecta; Hymenoptera; Apidae
Description: misc RNA ENSBTSG00005037872.1
Source: RNAcentral